Molecule: transfer-messenger RNA, 358 nt
Filed under: Gemmataceae
Lineage: Bacteria; Pseudomonadati; Planctomycetota; Planctomycetia; Gemmatales
Also listed under: 1 other name
Description: RGDT01 sp009918525 Standard tmRNA
Rfam family: transfer-messenger RNA
About the family: Bacterial tmRNA, also known as 10Sa RNA or SsrA, is named for its dual tRNA and mRNA-like properties. Its role is to liberate the mRNA from a stalled ribosome. To accomplish this part of the tmRNA is used as a reading frame that ends in a translation stop signal.
Source: RNAcentral
GGGGGCGAUUUGGUAUCGACCGGGUCACACGAGGUAUAGGUUGCGUGCUGUGGUUGAUCGAUUGGCCACGUAAAAAGUCGAUCAAAUGAUAACUGCCGAAACGCAGUUCUCUCUGGCUGCCUAAUUUAGGCUGCCCUGCGACCGGAUCCUUUGUCUGAGAGGAACCGCGAGCAGUCAUCAAAUCAGGCUCGUCGUUGCCGGUUCCGGGGGAGGCGACGGCUAAACACCACUCCUGGAUGGCGGCCCGGCCCCUGUCCGUUGGGUAACCGGGCGGCGAGAUAAAAAAGGCGGAAUACGCACGUAGACGCUUAUAUCGAGGUACCACGGGACCGGGGUUCGAUUCCCCGCGCCUCCACUC